Molecule: long non-coding RNA, 1336 nt
Organism: Cyprinus carpio (common carp)
Lineage: Eukaryota; Metazoa; Chordata; Actinopteri; Cypriniformes; Cyprinidae
Source: RefSeq, a predicted model, not a curated record
GCUUCUUCAGUCAUGCGAGAUCUAAAGGCUGUGGACACGAGAUCUUGACCCACAUAGUUGUUUACAGCUGUGAUCGCUGUUCGCUGUAGUAGCUCGUGCUGGAUUGGCGCACGGACGGUAAAGAUCGGAAGUAGUUUGUGCAUGCUAAUGGAGGAGUUGGGGUUGUGGAUAUUUACGUUCAACGGGAGCCGCCCUUCAUUCACCACAUGGUUAAAAGCUGAGCGCGUUCGCGCCACUUUCGCAAUUUUACUACGGUUUUGUAACGCUACCCACAGCGUGCGCGGAUGCGGCGCGUUUCUACCACUGGCGCUUGAAGUUUACCGUUUAGUUUCGUCGAUUUGCCCGGAGCGUUGACAGUGAACGAAGAACCAUGGACCAGCUCCGGUCACCUUACACCAGGGUCCACAUCAGUGCCAUGCAUCUCUGUGCAGAGGUGGAUCUGCGCUGGUCAGCGUAGUGCCAAAGUGCUUACAGUGCAGGUAGUUCUGUAAAAUCUACUGCAGUGGAGGCACUUCAAGCUCUACUUUGACAUGAUCACACGUGAGCGGCGACGUGAACUACUGCUUAUGCUAAGGUGCAUUUAGUGCAGAUAGUGAAAUAGACUAGCACCUACUGCUCUAAGUGCCCCUUCUGGCAUAAGGGGCUGGCAAACCCCACUGUUCCCCAUUCUUUUAUUUCAUGCAGUUCUCUGCUAGUUUUGCAUAGUUGCACUACAAGAAAUAUUGAGUUGUGCAAAUCUAUGCAAAACUGAUGGUGGCCUGCUUCCCCAUCCUCCUCUCCUGUGCUUUGACUUUGAGCAUCUCUGCUUAAGCGUGCAUGUGUGUGUGUGCGCGUUUCUUUUCAGGUUAACCCCUGUUUGUCGUGGCUCUGCGCUGUGAAACUCUCUCUCUCUCUGGUUCCAGCAGUAUUAAAGUGCUUAUAGUGCAGGUAGUUUAUUAAAAUGCGUAUCUACUGCAAUGUGAGCACUUCAAGUACUUCUAGAUGCGAGCGUCGCGGAGAGAGCUUGACGGUCACACUUGCUUGUGCGCACUGUCCUGGUCAGUUUUGCUGGUUUGCAGUCAGCGUUCGUAUAGUUGCUGUGCAAAUCCAUGCAAAACUGAUCGUAACAGUGAGGAGUCUCCGCUUCCCGUCCCACUCCAGCAUCCCUGUCUUUGCAGGUUGGGAUCGGCCGCAAUGCUCUGCGCUGGAAGUAUUGCACUUGUCCCGGCCUGUGAAGAGCACGGGAAAUUGUUCAGCUGCUUUUGUGUUCAUUAAUAAAUUUGGACAUGUAUUUUUUUUUUUUUCUCCUGAUUUGUUUGUUGGAAUUUGGUCAUCUCAAUAAAACUGUUAAUGUACA